GGGAGCCAUUCUUCUUGCCUCCAAGGUUUGGGACGAUCAGGCUGUAUGGAAUGUGGACUACUGCCAGAUCCUCAAGGACAUUACAGUUGAGGACAUGUGAGAAUGAAAUGGAAAGGCAUUUUCUGGAGCUUCUUCAGUUUAAUAUUAAUGUUCCUGCCAGUGUUUAUGCCAAAUACUACUUUGACCUUCGCUCCUUAGCAGAUGACAACAACCUGAAUUUUCUAUUUGCUCCUCUUAGCAAAGAAAGAGCACAGAACCUAGAGGCUAUUUCUAGAUUGUGUGAAGACAAAGACUUGUGUAGAGCCGCUAUGAGAAGGUCUUUCAGUGCUGAUAACUUCAUUGGUAUUCAGCGCUCUAAAGCCAUCCUCUCUUAAAAGGAGAAAUGAGGGGUUAUAACGUCAUGGGACCUUCAUCUACAAAGACUGGAGAAAUACCACCUUUCCUGCUCAAAAACCAGCAAAAUUAGUGUUUUCAUCAAAAGGAAAGAUCUCAAAUUCAAGAGACUCAUGGACAACAAGGAUUAUACUCCACAGGAAAGAAUGGGACCUUGUCAAUGCAACAAAACACUCUUCUGUCCUUUUUAAUGUAAACAGAGUUACAAAAACCACUCCAAAGUGAAGGCUCCCAUCCUACACACAGAUAUUUGCUUACUGUGUGGGCCGAUAGCUGUGAACUAUGUAAGGUUUUUUAAACAAUAGUUUAAAUUUUUAGACUUUAAAGACACUAACCAUAUAACUUUUAUGUUUCUUCCAGUUUCUCUCCCUCCCCCCGCAUUUUGCUGCAUAUGCCUUUAAAAUCAAUGCAGUAUUACCAUUAAAACAUGGGACUCUAACUAAAGCCACUUAGGAGCAGACAGCAGCGUUGUUAGGUACUGAAGGGUUCUUCCUCCCUACUGUUACCAUUGAAGCUGCUAGUCAUUGGCAAUCAUUUUAAACCAAAAAGCUGCUGGAUAACAUUUGUCAUUCAUAUUCUUUGCAAGCAUUACUUUAGCAUUUUAGCAUGUUUGGGGUCAUAAACAGAGGAAGUAUCAGUUAUUGAUAUCUACUUCUAUUGGAGUCCAUGUUGCAUUUCUUGUGAACUAUAAAUGGUGCUUCUCAUUUUCUGAUAAUUUUUCUCUUGCUAAAUAAAUGUAUUAAAAGAUAUUUU
RNAcentral lists this long non-coding RNA (1146 nucleotides) under Homo sapiens (human). Its description in RNAcentral is "long non-coding RNA NONHSAT183471.1". Lineage: Eukaryota; Metazoa; Chordata; Mammalia; Primates; Hominidae. The record is from RNAcentral.